UACGGAGGGUGCAAGCGUUAUCCGGAUUUACUGGGUUUAAAGGGUGCGUAGGCGGAUUUGUAAGUCCGAGGUGAAAUCUCCGAGCUUAACUCGGAAACUGCCUUGGAUACUAUAAGUCUUGAAUGACGUUGAGGUUAGCGGAAUAUGUCAUGUAGCGGUGACAUGCUUAGAUAUGACAUAGAACAUCUAUUGCGAGGGCAGCUAACUAAGCGUAUAUUGACGCUUAUUCACGAAAGCGUUGGGAUCAAACAGG
This 253-nucleotide ribosomal RNA is filed under the name uncultured bacterium. Its description in RNAcentral is "partial 16S ribosomal RNA". It matches the Rfam family "Bacterial small subunit ribosomal RNA", at positions 524 to 776 of the family's 1533-position model. The record is from RNAcentral.